AUGGUUUUAAGUUAAAAAAACUAAUAGCCUUCAAAGCUAUAAAUAAAAUAUAUUUUAAACCUUA
This 64-nucleotide transfer RNA is filed under the name Phryganogryllacris superangulata. RNAcentral describes it as "tRNA-Trp". Lineage: Eukaryota; Metazoa; Arthropoda; Insecta; Orthoptera; Gryllacrididae. The record is from RNAcentral.